GGGGAUGUAGUUUAAUGGAAAAAUACUUCUUUCGCAUCAUCGUGAAAGUAGAAGUGCCCUGGGUUCGAUUCCCAGCAUCUCCA
Cryptococcus sp. DSM 104548 is the source of this 83-nucleotide non-coding RNA. The record is from the annotation of a GenBank genome assembly.